CUUCUCAACACCCAAACCCACCCUCAGACCAGCUACGGGAGGAGCACUCUGAUUUCUGAGCAUACGGCUCUUUUACAGAGAGUGCUGAGCAAUUUAUUUAUUUAUUUUUUUCAGCCCCGUGCGAAUCUUCAUCUUUCCCUCGUUCGAGAUAUAAGGCAGUGCAGUGGGCAAGAGAUUCCUCCACUGCGAUUUUUCUUGGGAAAAUCUUGCUUUUCAAGAAUUUCAUUAUCAAAAACAGUCGCACUCGGUUUGUCUGGUGCAGUCCAAAAUCAUCUAUAAAUUGAAAAUGACGAAACUAAGGUCACCUACCACUACCAGUGUCUGCAAUCUCCGCCCCUAACUCGACGCAUAAACGCCGCUUGCCUUUGUGGUGGCUUCGAACAGAACACACGGUCCUUCAAGGUAACCAUGCUUGCAGAGUCCUCCAUAACUAAUUUCAUUUCCUGGGUUAAUUUCUAUUUUUCGAAAUUGAUCACUCCAAUAAAGUUUCAUCUUGUUUUCAUAUCUGUUUUAUAUAUCCUCUGAAUUUUUGACACUGUACAUUGAUGCCAAAGAAGAUUGAAAGUAUAUGUCUUUUCACUGUAUGUAUGCCAGAUAUUUUGCCCAUUUUUACACAGUUAGCGCUCUUGAUGAUUAUGUAUGCUUUUCCGAAUUUUCCAUAGACUAAGUUGGUUUAUUUAUUUGAUAUAAUGUUAUAGUUCAUGCGGCUUGCGGCAUCAUUAUUUGUUUCCAAGUUAGUCUCUGUUUUAUCUUUGUGCUUGGGUGACAAAUGGAUGAGCUUUAUUAAAUAUGCUCAUGCUAGUUGAAGCUUAUAGGGCCUUUGUAGAUUUGGAAACGAUUCCCUUUUUCCUUUCGUAGCAUUUGGAAUUAGGGUAUUCCAUUUGUUUUAGCCUUUUAGUUGAGUCUCUCCGUUAUCCGUCGUCCUUUGAUAUAGAUGGGAUUACAGUGUAACACUUGAAUCUUUGAACUUUUUUUUGUUUUGAGCAAAAGGUAGGAGUUACACUUGAAUGUAACGUGGUCCAUUAAUGUUCAUAGGCAAAUGUCUUUUCUUUUGUUUAAAUUUGAUUUUAUUAUUAAGUAUUAUCUGUUUGAUAAGCCUGCCAUCCAUACGUGUUCAUAGGAAUAUUUGCAGCGCAGUGCAGUCAUAUUAUGACUUCACUCCACCUUAGUGAUUAUCUGAUAAUAUUUUCUGUAAUGUAUCUUUCAUGUUAGGAACUCUAGCACUUUCACCAUGUUACCAUUAUUAUAAUCUAUACAUAAUUUACUCUUUUAGGUCCAAGGCGCAAAGUUUUUUCAAGCAUUAUACCUUCAUAAUUGACAGCAGCCUUUCAUUAUUACCUUCACAGUUACUUUUCCCCCCUCUUUUCCACCCUAUCAUAUCAAUAUUCUGUAUGUAAAGAGAUCCAUUCACUGUCUCUGGUUAAAAACAAAUGUGUAAAUAUUUGUUCAAAAUUUUCCAUAAUUCAUAUGCUGGUGCUAAAUGAAUCUUUCAUGGAGCAACAAUCUGAUUGGUUGACUAUUGAAAAGGUCACAAGUGACCAUGGGUACUUCUUCCAAAAUUAUAUCACAUUCCAACAUUCCAAUCUCUAUUUGCAUUUUCUUUUUUUUUUUGAUGAAUAUCUCUAUUUGCAUUUUCUUUUCAGUUUGGGAAGAAUAUUUUGUUCUUUGAUCGGUCAGAUUGGGCAAAAUCUUGUUUAUAUUCUGGUUGAUGGUUUGAAAGUGCUCUAAAGACAAAGUAAAAGUAUCCUACAAGUGUCAUCACUUUUGACACUCAUAUACAUACACAGACUUGUUAAAGCUCCUCUGUAAUUAAAACACUUCAAUACAAAAUUUGUUACAAGCCUAUAAUAGCUUACUGCUCAGCCACCCAUUCACAUCACAUGUACCAAGUAAUUUAAUCUUCACAUGAUGAGUUAGUUUAAAACUAACUCAUAUGUACAGUGCUUAUGGCGUGUGCAAUCACAACCUGUAAUGUUGACAUACUUUGAUGAACUAUCUUCAUUAUUAAUUGUUGAGUUGUGUUUCCGUUAUAAGUGAUUAUCUUUUAUACAAUUUAAUCUUAUCCCCUUUAAGUGCAUCCACACCAAUCCCUUGAAAGUCCUUUUGUUGAUGGAUUUUUCAAAUUUAGUAAUCAGUGAUAACUACUUCAUAAGAAUUCAUUAUUAAAGUUAAUGGAAGCAUAGAAAAAGACGGUCAACAAAGAUCUACACAAAUCUGGACAAACAGACAAGUUUGCAUUAAUGGUUAUAGUUGAUGCUUUGAUUUUAAGCAAAAAUGGUAGCUUGCAUAAUACUUGCUAUACUAGGCAAUAAUCCAUAUGCUUCUUUUGGAGAUUAAUCAAUUAAUGUAAACUACAUGAUUAUCAACUGAAAAACGUAGCAAAAAAGAUCUACACAAAUCUGUGUUUGCAGCAAAGAAUUGCCCAGUAUAAACCUUUUCUAAAAUGUGUUAUACUGUGCAAUAAUUUGUGAGGUGCUCUUACCUGUGGUGCUAGUUGGUGUGUUCUGAAAUGCUUGUCCUUUUUUGUCUUUAUAACAUUACUGUCUACACUACUCCCGCCUAAUUCACCCUCCCCAAGUAUGGCCCAGUUUCAUUGCUGUUUAAGUUUUCAUUUCCUCAUCUAUUCUAAUGCAUGCAAUUAUAUAUUAGUUGCUCUGGAAUUCUUGAUAUAAUAAGAGCGUAUUUGAUCCAACCUGCAAUAUCUUGUUGUUUGUAUUUUUUUACUUAUAUUACACACAAUAUCUUGCAUAUGUGUAUUAUGUGCUUUCUUAGCUAAUUCACAUGGAUGAUCCGGAAAAUACAAACAUUGAUUGUGACCUAUGGGCGGAUGGAAUGGAGAACAUUUUCAUUGAGAUGUUGUAUGGGGAUGUCCUUAUUGGAGCACUAAGGGCAGGGAAUAUCACAUCUAGGGACCAUACAAUGUAUGCUCAAUGGCUUACAUCAGUGGGUACAAGGGGGUAUAUGAUGGUGAUCAAGUGAAAAGCAAACUACAAAGGUUGAAGUUGAGGCAACCCCUUUUCAUUGACCUUAUGAGCCAAACUGGUAUGGCUUGGGACCCUGACAACAAAAUGGUGAUAGCCAAUGACAAACACUGGGCAAAUGCCCUUAGGGCGAAAUCACAAUAGAAGAUGUUCUGGACCUUGGGUCGCCCAAUGUAUGAGAAGCUCUACACCAUUUCUGGGGCAUCAAUUGCUACUGAUACACUCCACCACACGUCAACGCAAUCACCCUCAGAUAGUGACGACGAGUGUGCACUUGAUGCGGAGAUGCGACAUUGGGGCCCCACAUUGGGCAAUCGACAUGGAUUGCCCAUUGACUUUGCUGACAUGGAUUUCUCCAUGGGAUUCGAGAUACCACCAUCCACUGCGUCGAGGCGAAGCCAACGUCGAUGACAAAGGGCGAGGCCCUCCAUGCAGGUGGAUGCAAACAUCUCUAACUGCCUCAAUGAGUGGGCCCAUAUUGCAAUAUUGAGGCGGAAGUACUAUGAGGAGAGGGAAUCGAACAACGUUGUAGAGGAUGGAAGUGAUGAUUGAUCAGCAAUGAAUAUGGCAGAGAGAAGCUCUGACUUACCUAUGAGUUCUAGUGGUGAUUAAUUUGAAUAUGAGAUGAUCGAUGACAGUGGAGGAAUAGGUAGGAAUGUUUUUCAUUUUGGUGGGCCAUGCACAAGGACAACGCAUUGUGAGAGACCGGUUUCAACAUUCAAGUCAAACUACUAAUCGCUAUAUGAGGGCAGUGAUACGGGUGUUGUGUGAGCUUUGGAGACAUUAUUGCGCCAACAUAUAAUGGGAGGGUACAUCCUUAUAUUGCAAGCAACUCCCGAACGAUGCCUUGAUGCGAUGGAUGUCGCCAUGAUGGUUGUGAUAGUACCAGCUGAUAUACAUGAGACAUAUCGAAACCAGCCUGGGCAAAUUGCCAAAAAACCUGUUGUGUAGAUGUAACUUCGAUAUGAAGUUUAUAUUUGUGUACACGGGAUGAGAGGGAAUGACUCAUGAUGUUCGUGUCUUCUUGACUGCCUUGAGUGAACCGACAACCCAAUUCCCAUGGCUGCCCGAGGGUUGCCAUCUGACACGCACAUGAAUGGACUGCAUGAAAUGAGUAUGGCAUGGAGUCCAGGGACAAGACGAGUAGUACGCGUCAGGACAGACACGACCCAAGGGGAAGAGGACGGAAGCCUAGGUAUAGUGUUUUGUAUGAAAGACUUUUAAUUAUAAAGUUUAAUAUUUUCCACUAUAAUUCUCUUUAACUUAUGAAACACGCUUUAUUUUAUAAACAUUGAGUUUUUUGUAUCCUAGCACGAAAGGAAAAGUUGUUUUAAAAUGAAUGGUAAUUCCCAUCGUCUUUCCUAAAGUCAUUUUCUAAAGGUCCCACCACAAGGACGAGCGUUACAUCGAGGUAAGUUAACUCUUAACUUACUAUCAAUUUAUUGUGUAUGUGUGAUGGGUAAGAAAACUAUAGUUUAUGUUCGUAUGUUGUUAUAUAUGUCAUACCAUGCCAUGUCAUCACAUGUUUAUCUAUUAUACGAAUUAUUCUAGCAUGAAAUACUUAUCUGUUACAUAAUAUAUUCUGUCACAUGUUGCUAUCUAUUACGAGUGUGUCACAUUAUGUAUGCUCUGUUACAUGUAUGUCAUGUCACGUAAUAUUCACUGUCACAUGUUAUGCCAUGUUACAAAAUAUUGUCUGUCACAUGUUAUGCCAUGUUAUGAAUUGUUGUCUAUUAUAAGUUAUGCAAUGUUAUGAAAUAUUGUCUGUUAAAUGUAUGUCAUGUUAUGAAAUGUUGUUUGUUAUAUUUAUGUCUCAAAGUAUGUCAUGUCUGUAGUCUUACGUUCAUGUCAUGUUACGCUAGAUCAGGACUUCUAUCAUUUCGUAUUCAUGUCACGUCCCGUCUUGAAUAUAGUUUGUGUACCUCGAGAACAGUCUUGUUAAGUUAGUCACGUCAAUCAUGACCCUAAGUGCUAGGAUGAGAUAAUAUCUUAGUGGAAUUCCUUUAUUCAUGCUAGAGUGUCUAAAUAGGUGUGAAAUUUCCUAGGUUGACGAAGUGGAGUCAAUAGGUUGCAAAUGGGGCAUAACUGGCUGGUCACCGGAGCACACCAGACACUAGCACUGAUGGAGCCAUUUUUUUUUAUUUUACGUGUGUUUACAACACUUGUGGCACAAACAAUUCAUAGGGCCACAACAACUAUGGAGCAUGAAGUAUGGGGUCACAAUAACUGUGGAGUAUACACUACGUGAGACACAGCAAUUGUGACAUGUAGAAUACGUGAGACCACAACAACUAUGGAGUAUGUAUUAACAGACUCACAGUUGGUGUAGAAACCUGUGUUGUGAUGUGGUAAUCAGUAGGGACACAUGGCUUAAGGGGACUGGUGUAGCACCCAUAUGGCCACUUUAUUAAUUAAGUCUAUUGAACAAGAUUUCAAGUUAUGUCUCAUGUUAUGUUAUGUUUAAGUUUACGUUCAUGUCAAGCUUCAAGAUCACGUCCAUGUUAUGUAUCAAGUUCAUGUCACGUCAACCCAAGUUUUAGUUUCAAUUCAAGUUAUAUCAUCUCACGCCAUGUUACGUCAAGUCACGUUAUGCUUAUUAUUUCAUGCCAUGUUAUGUCAAAUUAUGUUAUGCUUACUAUUGACUUUGAUUGUGCAUUCAUGCUUUUACUGUCAUGCAUGCAUCUUUAACUUGUGUGAGAGUUUCCUAUUAACUUGUUGAGAUUUAUAAUCAAAUCUCACCGUGGUAGUCCCAACUACCAUUUCUCCCAAAUGGUAGGCGAUGUGUCAGGAACAGAACAGGGAGUUGACAUGGGCAGACUGGAGGAGGUUGACUAGACACUGCAUACGCGACGUGGAGCUUAUAGCCUCCAUAGUUAGGUUUUUGGAUUGUAUUUUGGUCUCGUUGGUCGAGUUACGCUAGUUACUAGAUGAACUAGCCCAAUAAUGAAUUUUUGUAAUGUAAUAUGGACCUCAAUCUCCCAUGUUUUGGAGAUUACAGUCUUCUGAGACUCGUACUGUGAUCAUGGAUGUUUAUUUUGUUAAGUAUGCAUAGAUUACAUUUUAACUA
Molecule: long non-coding RNA, 6048 nt
Organism: Carya illinoinensis
Lineage: Eukaryota; Viridiplantae; Streptophyta; Magnoliopsida; Fagales; Juglandaceae
Exons: 7
Source: RefSeq, a predicted model, not a curated record